GUGGCCAUGAUCGCCUUCUUUUUGUGAUUUCCUCUCUUUUCGGCACAUUUUCUCUCUUUUCUCCGCCAAAAACGGUGAUUCCUGGCUCUCUCCCUCUCUCUUUUUCUUAUUCUAUCUCUUCUUUCCCUUCUUCUCUGACACGUUUGGUCGAUUGGGGUAAGGAACAGUUGAAAAAUUUUCUCUUCAGUGAAUCUAAACCACACGAUUGUGGCACACGUGGCUGUGUGCAAUCCCUUGGAUGCAGUUUCAUUAAUGGCAAAACUAUAAUAUUGUCACGCGUGAUUCUCAGCCUUUAGAUUGCAAUCUCUUUUUAUUAGGAUUGUUCGUGCGUGUGGUCAUUGGAUCGCUUUAGAACGUAUGCAAGUUGUUCAAUUGUCAUCUUGUGUGUACAUCGUUGGAUCGAAAUCAUUACCUUUACAUGCUUGGGAGUUGUCCAAUCCAUUC
This 444-nucleotide long non-coding RNA is filed under the name Carica papaya (papaya). Its description in RNAcentral is "long non-coding RNA (CPAP_LNC003461)". The record is from RNAcentral. Lineage: Eukaryota; Viridiplantae; Streptophyta; Magnoliopsida; Brassicales; Caricaceae.